UUACGGGAUGCAGCAGUAGGGAAUAUUGCCCAAUGGACGAAAGUCUGAGGCAGCAACGCCGCGUGUGCGAAGAAGGUCUUCGGAUUGUAAAGCACUUUUGACAGGGAAGAGGAAGGACAGUACCUGUAGAAUAAGCCUCGGCUAACUACGUGCCAGCAGCCGCGGUAACACGUAGGAGGCAAGCGUUAUCCGGAUUUACUGGGCGUAAAGCGCGUGCAGGCGGGCAUGUAAGUUAGAUGUGAAAUCUCCUGGCUUAACUGGGAGAGGUCGUCUAAAACUGUAUGUCUGGAGUGUGAGAGAGGGAGGCAGAAUUCCGAGUGUAGUGGUGAAAUGCGUAGAUAUUCGGAGGAAUACCAGAGGCGAAGGCGGCCUCCUGGCUCACAACUGACGCUGAGACGCGAAAACUAGGGUAGCAAACGGGAUUAGAUACCCCAGUAGUA
This 440-nucleotide ribosomal RNA is filed under the name uncultured bacterium. RNAcentral describes it as "partial 16S ribosomal RNA". It matches the Rfam family "Bacterial small subunit ribosomal RNA", at positions 339 to 795 of the family's 1533-position model. The record is from RNAcentral.